This 271-nucleotide ribosomal RNA is filed under the name uncultured prokaryote. RNAcentral describes it as "partial 16S ribosomal RNA". It matches the Rfam family "Bacterial small subunit ribosomal RNA", at positions 524 to 794 of the family's 1533-position model. The record is from RNAcentral.
UACGUAGGUGGCAAGCGUUAUCCGGAUUUACUGGGUGUAAAGGGUGAGUAGGCGGGUCUGCAAGUCAGGUGUGAAAUACUGCGGCUCAACCGCAGAAUUGCAUUUGAAACUACGGAUCUUGAGUGUCGGAGAGGUAAUUGGAAUUCCCAGUGUAGCGGUGAAAUGCGUAGAGAUUGGGAGGAACACCAGUGGCGAAGGCGGAUUACUGGACGACAACUGACGCUGAGACACGAAAGCGUGGGGAGCAAACAGGAUUAGAUACCCCCGUAGU